This 254-nucleotide ribosomal RNA is filed under the name uncultured bacterium. RNAcentral describes it as "partial 16S ribosomal RNA". It matches the Rfam family "Bacterial small subunit ribosomal RNA", at positions 524 to 776 of the family's 1533-position model. The record is from RNAcentral.
UACGAAGGGGGCUAGCGUUGCUCGGAAUCACUGGGCGUAAAGAGCACGUAGGCGGCUUGUUAAGUGUGAAGUGAAAUCUCCAGGGCUCAACCCGGAAACCGCUUCGCAUACUGGCAAGCUAGAGGAAUGCAGAGGUAAGUGGAAUUCCUGGUGUAGCGGUGAAAUGCAUAGAUAUCAGGAGGAACACCCAUGGCGAAGGCAGCUUACUGGGCAUUAUCUGACGCUGAGGUGCGAAAGCGUGGGGAGCAAACAGG